This 84-nucleotide ribosomal RNA is filed under the name uncultured bacterium. RNAcentral's name for it is "partial 16S ribosomal RNA". The record is from RNAcentral.
UCACGAAAAGUGGAUUGUACUAGAAGUCUGCAGGCUGACCCGCAAGGGAGGCAGCGGCCCAAGGUAUGAUCCAUGAUUGGGGUG